This 465-nucleotide ribosomal RNA is filed under the name uncultured Pseudomonadota bacterium. Its description in RNAcentral is "uncultured proteobacterium partial 16S ribosomal RNA". It matches the Rfam family "Bacterial small subunit ribosomal RNA", at positions 338 to 794 of the family's 1533-position model. The record is from RNAcentral. Lineage: Bacteria; Pseudomonadati; Pseudomonadota.
CCUACGGGAGGCAGCAGUGAGGAAUCUUGCGCAAUGGGCGAAAGCCUGACGCAGCGACGCCGCAUGAGGGAUGAAGGCCUACGGGUUGUAAACCUCUUUUAGGAGGGAAGAAUAAGCUAUAGUUAACUGCUAUAGCGAUGACGUUACCUCCAGAAAAAGCCCCGGCCAAUCUUACGUGCCAGCAGCCGCGGUAAUACGUAAGGGGCAAGCGUUGUUCGGAUUGACUGGGUGUAAAGGGUCAGCAGACGGUUCUAUAAGUCGGAUGUGAAAUCCGGAGGCUCAACCUUCGAACUGCAUUCGAUACUAUAGGACUUGAGUAUCGGAGAGGUGAGCGGAAUUCCUGGUGUAGCGGUGAAAUGCGUAGAUAUCAGGAGGAACACCGAUGGCGAAGGCAGCUCACUGGCCGAAUACUGACGUUCAGGGACGAAGGCAUGGGGAGCAAACAGGAUUAGAUCCCCGGGUAGU